This 448-nucleotide ribosomal RNA is filed under the name uncultured bacterium. RNAcentral describes it as "partial 16S ribosomal RNA". It matches the Rfam family "Bacterial small subunit ribosomal RNA", at positions 29 to 523 of the family's 1533-position model. The record is from RNAcentral.
AACGAACGCUGGCGGCAGGCUUAACACAUGCAAGUCGAACGCAUCCUUCGGGGUGAGUGGCAGACGGGUGAGUAACGCGUGGGAAUCUACCCAUCUCUGCGGAAUAGCUCCGGGAAACUGGAAUUAAUACCGCAUACGCCCUACGGGGAAAGAUUUAUCGGGGAUGGAUGAGCCCGCGUUGGAUUAGCUAGUUGGUGGGGUAAAGGCCUACCAAGGCGACGAUCCAUAGCUGGUCUGAGAGGAUGAUCAGCCACAUUGGGACUGAGACACGGCCCAAACUCAUACGGGAGGCAGCAGUGGGGAAUAUUGGACAAUGGGCGCAAGGCUGAUCCAGCCAUGCCGCGUGAGUGAUGAAGGCCUUAGGGUUGUAAAGCUCUUUCACCGAUGAAGAUAAUGACGGUAGUCGGAGAAGAAGCCCCGGCUAACUUUGUGCCAGCCGCCGCCGUAA